Molecule: ribosomal RNA, 549 nt
Filed under: uncultured Glomus
Lineage: Eukaryota; Fungi; Glomeromycota; Glomeromycetes; Glomerales; Glomeraceae
Description: SSU rRNA
Rfam family: Eukaryotic small subunit ribosomal RNA
Source: RNAcentral
UUGGAGGGCAAGUCUGGUGCCAGCAGCCGCGGUAAUUCCAGCUCCAAUAGCGUAUAUUAAAGUUGUUGCAGUUAAAAAGCUCGUAGUUGAACUUCGGGAUCAAUGGAUUGGUCAUGCCGAUGGUAUGUACUGGUCAUAUUGGUUCUCACCUUCUAAGGAACCAUAAUGUCAUUUAUUUGAUGUUGUGGGGAAUUAGGACUGUUACCUUGAAAAAAUUAGAGUGUUUAAAGCAGGCUAACGCUUGAAUACAUUAGCAUGGAAUAAUGAAAUAGGACAUCGCAUUCUAUUUUGUUGGUUUCUAGGAUCGAUGUAAUGAUUAAUAGGGAUAGUUGGGGGCAUUAGUAUUCAAUUGUCAGAGGUGAAAUUCUUGGAUUUAUUGAAGACUAACUACUGCGAAAGCAUUUGCCAAGGAUGCUUUCAUUAAUCAAGAACGAAAGUUAGGGGAUCGAAGACGAUCAGAUACCGUCGUAGUCUUAACCAUAAACUAUGCCGACUAGGGAUCGGAUGAUGUUGAUUUUUUAAUGACUCAUUCGGCGCCUUACGGGAAAC